UACGGAGGAUGCAAGCGUUAUCCGGAUUCAUUGGGUUUAAAGGGUGCGUAGGCGGACUAUUAAGUCAGUGGUGAAAGUUUGCGGCUCAACCGUAAAAUUGCCUUUGAUACUGGUAGUCUUGAGUACAUUUGAGGUAGGCGGAAUGUGAUGUGUAGCGGUGAAAUGCUUAGAUAUAUCACAGAACACCGAUUGCGAAGGCAGCUUACUAAACUGUAACUGACGCUGAGGCACGAAAGCGUGGGUAUCGAACAGG
Molecule: ribosomal RNA, 253 nt
Filed under: uncultured bacterium
Lineage: Bacteria
Description: partial 16S ribosomal RNA
Rfam family: Bacterial small subunit ribosomal RNA
Source: RNAcentral